This 255-nucleotide ribosomal RNA is filed under the name uncultured bacterium. Its description in RNAcentral is "partial 16S ribosomal RNA". It matches the Rfam family "Bacterial small subunit ribosomal RNA", at positions 524 to 776 of the family's 1533-position model. The record is from RNAcentral.
UACGUAGGGUGCGAGCGUUGUCCGGAAUUAUUGGGCGUAAAGAGCUCGUAGGCGGUUUGUUGCGUCGGCUGUGAAAACCUGAGGCUCAACCUCAGGCCUGCAGUCGAUACGAGCAGACUAGAGUGUUGCAGGGGAGACGUGGAAUUCCUGGAUGUAGCGGUGAAAUGCGCAGAUAUCAGGAGGAACACCGGUGGCGAAGGCGGGUCUCUGGGCAACAACUGACGCUGAGGAGCGAAAGUGUGGGGAGCGAACAGG